GCGGGGUAUAGCUCAGUGGAAGAGCAAUUGAUUGUAGAUCGAGAGGUCCACUGUCUUUUUCAAACCCGGGUGUCCGCU
Caerostris extrusa is the source of this 78-nucleotide non-coding RNA. NCBI's taxonomy places the organism in Eukaryota, Metazoa, Arthropoda, Arachnida, Araneae, Araneidae. The record is from the annotation of a GenBank genome assembly.